RNAcentral lists this ribosomal RNA (684 nucleotides) under Faecalibacterium prausnitzii. RNAcentral describes it as "bacterial SSU rRNA". It matches the Rfam family "Bacterial small subunit ribosomal RNA", at positions 440 to 1150 of the family's 1533-position model. Lineage: Bacteria; Bacillati; Bacillota; Clostridia; Eubacteriales; Oscillospiraceae. The record is from RNAcentral.
UGAGGAAGAUAAUGACGGUACUCAACAAGGAAGUGACGGCUAACUACGUGCCAGCAGCCGCGGUAAAACGUAGGUCACAAGCGUUGUCCGGAAUUACUGGGUGUAAAGGGAGCGCAGGCGGGAGAACAAGUUGGAAGUGAAAUCCAUGGGCUCAACCCAUGAACUGCUUUCAAAACUGUUUUUCUUGAGUAGUGCAGAGGUAGGCGGAAUUCCCGGUGUAGCGGUGGAAUGCGUAGAUAUCGGGAGGAACACCAGUGGCGAAGGCGGCCUACUGGGCACCAACUGACGCUGAGGCUCGAAAGUGUGGGUAGCAAACAGGAUUAGAUACCCUGGUAGUCCACACCGUAAACGAUGAUUACUAGGUGUUGGAGGAUUGACCCCUUCAGUGCCGCAGUUAACACAAUAAGUAAUCCACCUGGGGAGUACGACCGCAAGGUUGAAACUCAAAGGAAUUGACGGGGGCCCGCACAAGCAGUGGAGUAUGUGGUUUAAUUCGACGCAACGCGAAGAACCUUACCAAGUCUUGACAUCCCUUGACGAACAUAGAAAUAUGUUUUCUCUUCGGAGCAAGGAGACAGGUGGUGCAUGGUUGUCGUCAGCUCGUGUCGUGAGAUGUUGGGUUAAGUCCCGCAACGAGCGCAACCCUUAUGGUCAGUUACUACGCAAGAGGACUCUGGCCGGACU